UACGAAGGGGGCUAGCGUUGUUCGGAAUUACUGGGCGUAAAGCGCACGUAGGCGGAUACUUAAGUUAGGGGUGAAAUCCCAGGGCUCAACUCUGGAACUGCCUCUAAUACUGGGUAUCUCGAGUUCGAGAGAGGUGAGUGGAAUUCCGAGUGUAGAGGUGAAAUUCGUAGAUAUUCGGAGGAACACCAGUGGCGAAGGCGGCUCACUGGCUCGAUACUGACGCUGAGGUGCGAAAGCGUGGGGAGCAAACAGG
Molecule: ribosomal RNA, 253 nt
Filed under: uncultured bacterium
Lineage: Bacteria
Description: partial 16S ribosomal RNA
Rfam family: Bacterial small subunit ribosomal RNA
Source: RNAcentral